UCAGCGUCCGCCGUUUGCGCAGGCGGCACAAACACCGGCUGCCCGCGCCGUUAACGAGGCCGAGCAGACACCGGCCACAAGGCCACGAACGCCUGCAACUAGGCAGCAAACGCGCCACCGCCCGGCGAACUCACCGCCCGUGCGAGAGUCGGAGGGUUCCGGUUUGAGGGAAGCGAGCAGAAGGUUGGGGGGGGGGGGGGUGGGGGGGCGCGUGGACAUCGACGGCGUUGCAUCGUGAUGAUCUGCCACCGUUGAAUGUUUACGGAUCGCGAGCCGGCGAGUUGGCGAGGCUUGCGGCAGGCGGCACGGGGCCAUUGGGAGGUCGUGGGGUUCCUGGGCUGCCCGUCACCGAGCUCAUGGUCUGCCGUGUCAAAUGGCUCUGUGCGUUCAUCGGCAAGGCAGUCAGGCGAGGUGCGUGACGUCAUUUAUGGACGGCCCGUUAACCACACUUUCACUCGCGGUACUGAGACGGCACCCGGGUGGAUUGCGCUUGACGUCACGACGGCCCCAUGUGCCAACCGUGGCAUUUGUCCGACGCUGAUUGUGGGUUACUAAUGGGAGCACACAGCACGCAGCCGCCAGUCGCUGUCCAACGCAGCCAACGGAGCAGCUGUCGGGGAGAGAGGACGAAGGCCUCCUACAACCAAGACGAUGUAGUCAGCGGCACCGAGGCACCGGGAAGCAAGCGUCGGGAGAGAGGGAGAAGGGGCAGCUUGGCGGACAGGCCAGAUGGAGGCUCUGCACGCGCGCCGCAUGAACGAAACAGCGUCGCGAAACGAAACAGCGCUAACCGACCGCUCGCGUGUAGUGUAAAGCGGCCCCCGUAGAGUAAUACAGAGUAAAAAAUUAGAACGUUAAAUAUUACAUCUUUUUUUUGGUUUCGCUUACAUCGACUGCGUAUUGCGUCUAGGUAAAGGCGCAGCCCUGCAAUUGCUUGCUCACGUCUCCGCAGGCAGAAUGUGUAAACAGUGCCUCUCGCGGGUAUUUGGCCUAUUCUUCCACAUUGGCCAGACACCUUGUAAGCGGUGGGGGUACCCACCACACAUUAUCCGACCACACGUGACCUGUUGGUGUAUAUGUCUAUGUGGACGGAAGCAAUGGGGCGGGGGGGUGGUGGUGGUGGGAUUUAGGAAACUUGCCCCGUUGUUUC
Lethenteron reissneri (Far Eastern brook lamprey) is the source of this 1150-nucleotide long non-coding RNA. RefSeq lists it as uncharacterized. The record is from RefSeq and is a predicted model, not a curated record. NCBI's taxonomy places the organism in Eukaryota, Metazoa, Chordata, Hyperoartia, Petromyzontiformes, Petromyzontidae.